Long non-coding RNA from Oreochromis niloticus (Nile tilapia), 758 nucleotides. RefSeq lists it as uncharacterized. NCBI's taxonomy places the organism in Eukaryota, Metazoa, Chordata, Actinopteri, Cichliformes, Cichlidae. The transcript has 3 exons. The record is from RefSeq and is a predicted model, not a curated record.
GGUUCGCAAAAGAAAGUGGCCAAACACAGAGCAGCUAAAGAGCUCUAUGCGUUACUACAGGACAGGAUCGACCGGCAAACGGCUUCCGAGGUCACCAAAAACAAACCUUUCCAAGAGCAAAUCGACGACAACACACCCAAGUGUAGCAGCCCCUUCCAUGAGUCCUCGGCACUUGAUACUACACAAAAACAAACUGACCGACGAGCAUCCGAGUGUGAAGGAAGUCAACCCGACCCCGACGACUGCACAGAGACACCUCGGUCACAAGAGCACUACCCUCAACAGUCUGAGAAUCACAUUGGACAACUGCAGGAAAUCUGCCAGCAGAACAAGUGGCCAUUGCCCAAAUACAACUUUGGCAUUACAGAGGGCCUCGGUCGGUACGCAUGUCAAUGUGAACUUACUAUACCCCUGGGCAUCCACGCCGAUGACGCUGACUUUGCAGUAGAUGUCAAGACUGAUCGCGUUCGUACACAACUACACGGCACGGCAGACUCUAAAGGAGCGGCUAAACAAGCUUCGGCUGGAAACACUCUCCUUUGGCUUCGCGGGCACAAGCUCAUCUAACAAUCCAGCCGCAUACACCAUGUCGAAUAACAGCACGGUGUGUACCCAUCACCGGGAUAUGUGGUGUACAUGGUCUAUGAUACUUGUAAUGAUGGUGUCUGUCCUACUUUUUGUGUAUGGUGUGUACUGCAUGUGUACGCUUUGUGUCGAAAGAAAUAGACACAGGCGAAUCAUCAGGUUUCAUAGCACUC